UUCAAGAUAAUUAUGAAAAUCUUCACAUUUUCUACUUUAAAGAUUUUUAUUUUUUGAAAGAUACAAGUUUUUAAAAAAACUAAUUAAUAUAAUGGCAUGUUUCCUUCCCUUUUGUAGUAACAUCUUGACAAGUAAAGAGGAUAAACUUAUUUUGGUUCUUGUCAUGGAAGAUAAAAAGUCAGUAUCAUGAGCAUACUAUUUAAUGUCCCUCCAAAAGCACCUGAGAAUAGUAAUCACUUUUGUGAAGGGGAGUAGCUGAUGUCAACAGACUGUGAGGUGCAUUAUCAUACUGAAUACAAACAAGAGGACAACUUACUGAUUAACACAAGAGGCAUCCAUCUGAAAGAAACUGGGAUCCAUAAAGAGGUCAAAAGCUUCUUUUUUCCAAGCUCUCCGUGUGUACUGAUACCCACUAAGACUGCUGAGCAGCUGGACACAAGCUCGAUAACUAGGGGCAUUAUGUGCACUACAAGGAAGAAAAACCACCUUAACCUAUAUGUCCUAACUUUAAUCAUCCUAUCAAGUUAUACAUAAAUGUUCACAUUUGCCUAAGACAGUGACAUGAAAAUAUGAAAUAAAAAGCACCAUAAGAAAAAUAUUAUAUGCAUUUUUAAAAAAUAAUUAUAAUUCAAGGUAAAAAUGUCAUUUUGUAAUAAUUCUAGAAAUGGCAAUAAGGGAACAGAACUUGUUUCUAGCAGGCGAUGAAUUAAUUAAAAAAACUAUUUAAAUAAUAAUAGUACCUGUGAUUUCUGAGGUAGGGCACAACAUAAUGCAUAAUAUUUACAAGUAAAGGAAUAACCCGCUCCUUUUCAUCACUAUAGAAAACCAUAUCCAAAAGAUGAGCCAAAACCUAUAAAAACAAAAAAUGAAGAGUAACACAUGAGGUGAAACUGACGUCAUCCCAAGGUACUGAUUUUCAGUUUGUUAGAAAACCUAGACUACUUAAAAUUAGAAAAAUCUAAAAUUAAAUCUUCCUGAAUCAUUUUUAUGUUAAUAAGUUUUUCCACCAUCUGGUUUUUUGUACAUUGUUACUAUAGGAUAUAAAUACGGGCAAAUCUUGCCAUUUCCAACUGAGAUAGGGAAGUACAAAAAAGAAAAGAGUUCAAGAACCUUCUGUGACAGUGAGUAAACAGUGAAUUUAGUACUAGAAACUACAGUAUUCUUUUAUCCCUAACUCAGCUAAAAU
This is a non-coding RNA of Chlorocebus sabaeus (green monkey), 1186 nucleotides long. Lineage: Eukaryota; Metazoa; Chordata; Mammalia; Primates; Cercopithecidae. The record is from RefSeq and is a predicted model, not a curated record.